AGAGUUUGAUCAUGGCUCAGGACGAACGCUGGCGGCGUGCUUAACACAUGCAAGUCGAACGGUAAGGCCCUUCGGGGUACACGAGUGGCGAACGGGUGAGUAACACGUGGGUAAUCUGCCCUGCACAUCGGGAUAAGCCUGGGAAACUGGGUCUAAUACCGAAUAGGACCACAGGACACAUGUCCUGUGGUGGAAAGCUUUUGCGGUGUGGGAUGGGCCCGCGGCCUAUCAGCUUGUUGGUGGGGUGAUGGCCUACCAAGGCGACGACGGGUAGCCGGCCUGAGAGGGUGUCCGGCCACACUGGGACUGAGAUACGGCCCAGACUCCUACGGGAGGCAGCAGUGGGGAAUAUUGCACAAUGGGCGAAAGCCUGAUGCAGCGACGCCGCGUGGGGGAUGACGGCCUUCGGGUUGUAAACCUCUUUCACCAUCGACGAAGGUCCGGGUUUUCUCGGGCUGACGGUAGGUGGAGAAGAAGCACCGGCCAACUACGUGCCAGCAGCCGCGGUAAUACGUAGGGUGCGAGCGUGGUCCGGAAUUACUGGGCGUAAAGAGCUCGUAGGUGGUUUGUCGCGUUGUUCGUGAAAUCUCACGGCUUAACUGUGAGCGUGCGGGCGAUACGGGCAGACUUGAGUACUGCAGGGGAGACUGGAAUUCCUGGUGUAGCGGUGGAAUGCGCAGAUAUCAGGAGGAACACCGGUGGCGAAGGCGGGUCUCUGGGCAGUAACUGACGCUGAGGAGCGAAAGCGUGGGGAGCGAACAGGAUUAGAUACCCUGGUAGUCC
RNAcentral lists this ribosomal RNA (783 nucleotides) under uncultured bacterium. RNAcentral's name for it is "bacterial SSU rRNA". It matches the Rfam family "Bacterial small subunit ribosomal RNA", at positions 8 to 796 of the family's 1533-position model. The record is from RNAcentral.